RNAcentral lists this ribosomal RNA (465 nucleotides) under Vreelandella stevensii. RNAcentral's name for it is "partial 16S ribosomal RNA". It matches the Rfam family "Bacterial small subunit ribosomal RNA", at positions 338 to 795 of the family's 1533-position model. Lineage: Bacteria; Pseudomonadati; Pseudomonadota; Gammaproteobacteria; Oceanospirillales; Halomonadaceae. The record is from RNAcentral.
CCUACGGGAGGCAGCAGUGGGGAAUAUUGGACAAUGGGGGGAACCCUGAUCCAGCCAUGCCGCGUGUGUGAAGAAGGCCCUCGGGUUGUAAAGCACUUUCAGUGAGGAAGAACGCCUGGUGGUUAAUACCCAUCAGGAAAGACAUCACUCACAGAAGAAGCACCGGCUAACUCCGUGCCAGCAGCCGCGGUAAUACGGAGGGUGCGAGCGUUAAUCGGAAUUACUGGGCGUAAAGCGCGCGUAGGUGGCUUGAUAAGCCGGUUGUGAAAGCCCCGGGCUCAACCUGGGAACGGCAUCCGGAACUGUCAAGCUAGAGGGCAGGAGAGGAAGGUAGAAUUCCCGGUGUAGCGGUGAAAUGCGUAGAGUUCGGGAGGAAUACCAGUGGCGAAGGCGGCCUUCUGGACUGACACUGACACUGAGGUGCGAAAGCGUGGGUAGCAAACAGGAUUAGAUACCCCAGUAGUC